Molecule: ribosomal RNA, 301 nt
Filed under: uncultured bacterium
Lineage: Bacteria
Description: partial 16S ribosomal RNA
Rfam family: Bacterial small subunit ribosomal RNA
Source: RNAcentral
CAGUCGCCACGGUAAUACGUAGGUCCCGAGCGUUGUCCGGAUUUAUUGGGCGUAAAGCGAGCGCAGGCGGUUUGAUAAGUCUGAAGUUAAGGGCUGUGGCUCAACCAUAGUUCGCUUUGGAAACUGUCAAACUUGAGUGCAGAAGGGGAGAGUGGAAUUCCAUGUGUAGCGGUGAAAUGCGUAGAUAUAUGGAGGAACACCGGUGGCGAAAGCGGCUCUCUGGUCUGUAACUGACGCUGAGGCUCGAAAGCGUGGGGAGCGAACAGGAUUAGAUACCCGUGUAGUCCCUGUCUCUUAUACA